This is a long non-coding RNA of Panicum virgatum (switchgrass), 878 nucleotides long. RefSeq lists it as uncharacterized. The record is from RefSeq and is a predicted model, not a curated record. Lineage: Eukaryota; Viridiplantae; Streptophyta; Magnoliopsida; Poales; Poaceae. The transcript is spliced from 5 exons.
AGGCCGAUAGGGUCAUGGACUUCUCCCGACUGUAGCCAUCUCCUCGGAUUCGCUGCAGCCCCUCCCUUCCGGCCUUCCCGUCCGAGCAGAUCGCACGCCGCGUGGGGCCGCGGCCCAGCUGCUCCCUCCUCUCUCUGCUCCACGGCGACGUGUAGCUCCCCCCUACAGGCGUGCGCCCCCUCCCUCUCCAUCUCAUCGGAGAAGUUGGCGGAGGUCGUGCCAUCCCGUCGGCGUCUACCGGCCCUCGCCCCAGUCCUGCGCCGGUCGCCGAGAUAGGUACCACGAAGGCAUCAGGCGAUCUGGGAGGGUAAGGGUUAGAUAGAACCAGCCGGAUUGAAGCCUUUCAAGAUUCAGCUGAGCAGUGGAGAAAAAAAAUGACCCCUUAAUGAAUCAGGAGAAGAGUUUCUGCCUGCUGUUGCCUAAAUCUUCAGGUGGCUGCUGUCUUGGCAUUGCAAAGAUGGGAGAUGUGCUGAUUUCAAGUCUCAUGACCGGUGAUUGCAAUGAUAGCAUAUGUGUAUGUGCUUCAAGGUUUUGGGAAUUUUAUGGUCUGAGUGAUGAGACAAAGUAUAUGUGUAUGCUGAAUUUCUUCUACAUGCAAUAUAUUCGGCUGAUUUAUAACCUGAUGCUCGGUAUUAAUUAACUCUCUUUUAGAUACUUUUAUGGUUGCAAAUUGUUUUGUUUCCUACUUACUCUUUAAUAUAUUAAUAUAUUAGUACUCGCUUGUAUUUGGAUUAGCAUUUUGAGCUACCUACUAAAAUGUUCGGUAGCUACUAAUUCUGAUCCUCAAUUGUAAUAUAUGGUUUGACUGAACAUAUCGGCUGCACAUGCCAUUCAAUCAAGAAUACUGCCGCCGUUGUUAAGAUAUUUGCAUGAAACAA